This 642-nucleotide ribosomal RNA is filed under the name Triticum aestivum (bread wheat). Its description in RNAcentral is "partial small subunit ribosomal RNA". The record is from RNAcentral. Lineage: Eukaryota; Viridiplantae; Streptophyta; Magnoliopsida; Poales; Poaceae.
AUGCACUGGAUGGCGUGGUGGAAGAUGUGUGUUCCAAAAGACCAAGGUGGAAUGGGUUUCCGUGAUAUACACUGCUUUAACCUGGCUUUGUUAGCGAAACAAGUUUGGCGCCUCUUGGAAAAUCCUGAAUCGUUAUGUGCAAUAAUUCUAAGAGCAAAGUAUUUCCCGAAGGGCGAUUUGAUGAGCGCGGUAUUAAAAAAGGACUCCUCUUUUACGUGGCAAAGCAUUAUGGCGGGAGUGGAUUCACUCAGGAAUGGCAAUAUAUGGAGAGUCGAAAGAGGAGAAAAUAUUGACAUAUGGAGAGAUGCAUGGAUCUCAAAUUGUGCAGAUAGAAAAAUUAUUACACCGAGAAGGGGGAAUAUCUUGACGAAAGUUUCUAAUCUUAUUGACCCAAUCACGAAUUGUUGGGAUGAAGAUUGGGUGAGACAAACUUUAUGGCCAAUUGAUACCCGUAGAGUCCUAGCGAUCCCGAUCCCUAUGCACAAUAUGUCGGACUUUAUUGCUUGGAGCUAUACAAAAAACGGUUUAUACACUGUACAAUCAGCGUAUGUGGAGGAAUGGAAAAAGCAACAUGGGAGGAAAUUGGAAUACUCAGAUGGCAUGGGUAGAAAUAAGGUCAAUCCUAUUUGGGGUAAGAUCUAG